RNAcentral lists this ribosomal RNA (1217 nucleotides) under marine metagenome. Its description in RNAcentral is "SSU rRNA". It matches the Rfam family "Eukaryotic small subunit ribosomal RNA", at positions 3 to 1232 of the family's 1831-position model. The record is from RNAcentral.
CCUGGUUGAUCCUGCCAGUAGUCAUAUGCUUGUCUCAAAGAUUAAGCCAUGCAUGUCUAAGUAUAAACUACUUUAUACAGUGAAACUGCGAUGGCUCAUUAAAUCAGUUAUAGUUUAUUUGAUAUUAACUUACUACUUGGAUAACCGUGGUAAUUCUGCAGCUAAUACAUGCGUUAAAGUCCAACUUCUGGAAGGACUGUACUUAUUAGAUUUAAGCCAACCCUAGCAAUAGGAUUAAGGUUGAUUCAUGAUAAUUUUUCGAAUCGUAUGACUUUGUGUCGACGAUGGUUCAUUCAAAUUUCUGCCCUAUCAACUUUCGAUUGUAGUGUAUUGGACUACAAUGGUUUUAACGGGUAACGGAGAAUUAGGGUUCGAUUCCGGAGAGGGAGCCUGAGAAACGGCUACCACAUCCAAGGAAGGCAGCAGGCGCGCAAAUUACCCAAUCCUGAUACAGGGAGGUAGUGACAAUAAAUAACAAUACAGAACUUUCGAGUUUUGUAAUUGGAAUGAGAACAAUUUAAAUCCCUUAACGAGGAACAAUUGGAGGGCAAGUCUGGUGCCAGCAGCCGCGGUAAUUCCAGCUCCAAUAGCGUAUAUUCAAGUUGUUGCAGUUAAAAAGCUCGUAGUUGAAUUUUGGCGCUGGUUGUGUGGUUUGGACUAACGUUCAAUACUGCAGGACUGGCGCUUUCCUUCUAGGGAACUAGUGUGCCAUUAAUUUGGUGGGCUAGGGAUCUAGGACUGUUACUUUGAAAAAAUUAGAGUGUUUAAAACAGGCUUAUGCUUGAAUACAUUAGCAUGGAAUAACGGAAUAGGACUUUGUCUUAUUUUGUUGGUUUAGGAGACAAAGUAAUGAUUAAUAGGGACGGUUAGGGGCAUUAGUAUUCCACAGUCAGAGGUGAAAUUCUUGGAUUUGUGGAAGACUAACUUCUGCGAAAGCAUUUGCCAGGCACGCUUUCAUUAAUCAGGAACGAAAGUUAGGGGAUCGAAGACGAUCAGAUACCGUCGUAGUCUUAACAGUAAACGAUGCCGAUUCAGGAUCCUAGGGUGUUAUAUUAUUGACCUCUAGGGCACUGUAUGAGAAAUCAAAGUUUUUGGGUUCCGGGGGGAGUAUGGUCGCAAGGCUGAAACUUAAAGGAAUUGACGGAAGGGCACCACCAGGAGUGGAGCCUGCGGCUUAAUUUGACUCAACACGGGGAAACUUACCAGGUCCAGACAUA